GUUUGAUCCUGGCUCAAUUGAACGCUGGCGGCAGGCCUAACACAUGCAAGUCGAACGGUAACAGGAAGAAGCUUGCUUCUUUGCUGACGAGUGGCGGACGGGUGAGUAAUGUCUGGGAAACUGCCUGAUGGAGGGGGAUAACUACUGGAAACGGUAGCUAAUACCGCAUAACGUCGCAAGACCAAAGAGGGGGACCUUCGGGCCUCUUGCCAUCGGAUGUGCCCAGAUGGGACUAGCUAGUAGGUGGGGUAACGGCUCACCUAGGCGACGAUCCCUAGCUGGUCUGAGAGGAUGACCAGCCACACUGGGAAUGAGACACGGUUCCAGAACUCCUACGGGAGGCAGCAGUGGGGAAUAUUGCACAAUGGGCGCAGCCUGAUGCAGCCAUGCGCGUGUAUGAAGAAGGCCUUCGGGUUGUAAAGUACUUUCAGCGGGGAGGAAGGGAGUAAAGUUAAUACCUUUGCUCAUUGACGUUACCCGUUCAGAAAAGCACCGGCUAACUCCGUGCCAGCAGCCGCGGUAAUACGGAGGGUGCAAGCGUUAAUCGGAAUUACUGGGCGUAAAGCGCACCAGCGGUUUGUUAAGUCAUGUGAAAUCCCCGGGCUCAACCUGGGAACUGCAUCUGAUACUGGCAAGUUGAGUCUCGUAAGGGGGGUAGAAUCAGUGUACGGUGAAAUGCGUAGAGAUCGGAGGAAUACCGGUGGCGAGCGCCCCUGACAGACUGACCUCAGGUGCGAAGCGUGGGGAGCAACAGGAUUAGAUACCCUGUAUCACGCCGUAACGAUGUCACUUGGAGGUUGUGCCCUUGAGGCGUGCUUCCGACUAACGCUUAAAGUCGACCCCGAGGAGUACGGGCCCAAGUUAAAACUCACAUGAAUUGCACGGCCCCAAAGCGGUAGCAUGUCGGUUAAUUCUGCAACGUCGAGAUACCUUACCUGGUGCUUUGACAUCCACUAGACUAUUCAGUUGGAUUGUGCCUUUCUGAAUGCUGGACCAGGCUGCAUGGCAUGCUCGCAGCCUUUCGUGUGUGAAUGUGGUUAAAGAUCCCGCACUAGCGUCAACCUUAAUUUCCUUACGUUGCCGCGUCCGCCGGACUCGAAAGGAGACUGCCAGUGAUAAACUGGAGGAAGGUGGGGAUGACGUCAAGUCAUCAUGGCCCUUACGACCAGGGCUACACACGUGCUACAAUGGCGCAUACAAAGAGAAGCGACCUCGCGAGAGCAAGCGGACCUCAUAAAGUGCGUCGUAGUCCGGAUUGGAGUCUGCAACUCGACUCCAUGAAGUCGGAAUCGCUAGUAAUCGUGGAUCAGAAUGCCACGGUGAAUACGUUCCCGGGCCUUGUACACACCGCCCGUCACACCAUGGGAGUGGGUUGCAAAAGAAGUAGGUAGCUU
RNAcentral lists this ribosomal RNA (1394 nucleotides) under uncultured Enterobacteriaceae bacterium. RNAcentral's name for it is "bacterial SSU rRNA". It matches the Rfam family "Bacterial small subunit ribosomal RNA". Lineage: Bacteria; Pseudomonadati; Pseudomonadota; Gammaproteobacteria; Enterobacterales; Enterobacteriaceae. The record is from RNAcentral.